RNAcentral lists this ribosomal RNA (334 nucleotides) under uncultured bacterium. RNAcentral describes it as "bacterial SSU rRNA". It matches the Rfam family "Bacterial small subunit ribosomal RNA", at positions 568 to 898 of the family's 1533-position model. The record is from RNAcentral.
CGCGUAGGCGGUCCAGUUAGUCGGAUGUGAAAGCCCUGGGCUCAACCCAGGAAGUGCAUCCGAAACUGCUGGACUUGAGUACGGGAGAGGGAAGUGGAAUUCCUGGUGUAGGGGUGAAAUCCGUAGAUAUCAGGAGGAACACCGGUGGCGAAGGCGACUUCCUGGACCGAUACUGACGCUGAGGCGCGAAAGCGUGGGGAGCAAACAGGAUUAGAUACCCUGGUAGUCCACGCCGUAAACGGUGGGCACUAGGUGUAGCGGGUAUUGACCCCCCGCUGUGCCGCAGCUAACGCAUUAAGUGCCCCCGCCUGGGGAUUACGGCCGCAAGGUUGAA